Molecule: transfer-messenger RNA, 365 nt
Filed under: Aciduricibacillus chroicocephali
Lineage: Bacteria; Bacillati; Bacillota; Bacilli; Caryophanales; Bacillaceae
Description: Bacillaceae bacterium 44XB transfer-messenger RNA
Rfam family: transfer-messenger RNA
About the family: Bacterial tmRNA, also known as 10Sa RNA or SsrA, is named for its dual tRNA and mRNA-like properties. Its role is to liberate the mRNA from a stalled ribosome.
Source: RNAcentral
GGGGACGUUACGGAUUCGACAGGGGCGGUUCGAGCUUUGGUGGCGCGUCGAGGUUACGACUCGUAAAACGUUACUCGCCUAAAUAUAACUGGCAAAGAAAACAACUACUCUCUAGCUGCAGCGUAAGCUAAUCUAGAGGAUCCUUCCCGGAAUCGCCCGUGUUCCGGAUUGAAGGGUCUCAAAUUAAGCGGGCUAUUGCAACCAUCCCCCGCCUGAGGAUGGCUGCUGAAUUAAAUCAGGCUAGCCAUGCUGUUCAGCCCGUUGGCAGGCUGUGGCAUGUGCGAAAUACAAUAUGCCGACUACACGCGUAGAAGCCUUAGUGGCGAUGUCUCUGGACGCGGGUUCGACUCCCGCCGUCUCCACCA